Molecule: ribosomal RNA, 397 nt
Filed under: uncultured bacterium
Lineage: Bacteria
Description: bacterial SSU rRNA
Rfam family: Bacterial small subunit ribosomal RNA
Source: RNAcentral
GAGUUUGAUCGUGGCUCAGGACGAACGCUGGCGGCGUGCCUAACACAUGCAAGUCGAACGGGACUUGCCCCUUCGGGGACAAGUUUAGUGGCGGACGGGUGAGUAACGCGUGAGCAACCUGCCUUUCAGUGGGGGACAACAGUUGGAAACGACUGCUAAUACCGCAUAAUACUUAUUAGGGGCAUCUCUGAUAAGUCAAAGAUUUAUUGCUGAAAGAUGGGCUCGCGUCUGAUUAGCUAGUUGGUGGGGUAAUGGCCCACCAAGGCGACGAUCAGUAGCCGGACUGAGAGGUUGAACGGCCACAUUGGGACUGAGAUACGGCCCAGACUCCUACGGGAGGCAGCAGUGGGGAAUAUUGGGCAAUGGGGGAAACCCUGACCCAGCAACGCCGCGUGAA